GUGCGAGCGUUGUCCGGAAUUAUUGGGCGUAAAGAGCUCGUAGGCGGCUUGUCGCGUCGGAUGUGAAAGCCCGGGGCUUAACUCCGGGUCUGCAUUCGAUACGGGCAGGCUAGAGUUCGGUAGGGGAGAUCGGAAUUCCUGGUGUAGCGGUGAAAUGCGCAGAUAUCAGGAGGAACACCGGUGGCGAAGGCGGAUCUCUGGGCCGAUACUGACGCUGAGGAGCGAAAGCGUGGGGAGCGAACAGG
This 245-nucleotide ribosomal RNA is filed under the name uncultured bacterium. Its description in RNAcentral is "partial 16S ribosomal RNA". It matches the Rfam family "Bacterial small subunit ribosomal RNA", at positions 532 to 776 of the family's 1533-position model. The record is from RNAcentral.